RNAcentral lists this ribosomal RNA (261 nucleotides) under uncultured archaeon. RNAcentral's name for it is "partial 16S ribosomal RNA". It matches the Rfam family "Archaeal small subunit ribosomal RNA", at positions 748 to 1008 of the family's 1478-position model. The record is from RNAcentral.
CAGCCGUAAACUAUGCGCGUUAGGUGUAUCGGUGACCACGAGUUACCGAGGUGCCGAAGGGAAACCGUGAAACGUGCCGCCUGGGAAGUACGGUCGCAAGGCUGAAACUUAAAGGAAUUGGCGGGGGAGCACCACAACAGGUGGAGCCUGCGGUUUAAUUGGACUCAACGCCGGGAAGCUCACCGGAUAAGACAGCAGAAUGAUUGCCGGGCUGAAGACUCUGCAUGACUAGCUGAGAGGUGGUGCAUGGCGUCAGUGACU